RNAcentral lists this ribosomal RNA (581 nucleotides) under Salmonella enterica. RNAcentral's name for it is "partial 23S ribosomal RNA". It matches the Rfam family "Bacterial large subunit ribosomal RNA", at positions 2259 to 2845 of the family's 2925-position model. The record is from RNAcentral. RNAcentral also lists the same sequence under 1 other name. Lineage: Bacteria; Pseudomonadati; Pseudomonadota; Gammaproteobacteria; Enterobacterales; Enterobacteriaceae.
UGGUGGGUAGUUUGACUGGGGCGGUCUCCUCCUAAAGAGUAACGGAGGAGCACGAAGGUUGGCUAAUCCUGGUCGGACAUCAGGAGGUUAGUGCAAUGGCAUAAGCCAGCUUGACUGCGAGCGUGACGGCGCGAGCAGGUGCGAAAGCAGGUCAUAGUGAUCCGGUGGUUCUGAAUGGAAGGGCCAUCGCUCAACGGAUAAAAGGUACUCCGGGGAUAACAGGCUGAUACCGCCCAAGAGUUCAUAUCGACGGCGGUGUUUGGCACCUCGAUGUCGGCUCAUCACAUCCUGGGGCUGAAGUAGGUCCCAAGGGUAUGGCUGUUCGCCAUUUAAAGUGGUACGCGAGCUGGGUUUAGAACGUCGUGAGACAGUUCGGUCCCUAUCUGCCGUGGGCGCUGGAGAACUGAGGGGGGCUGCUCCUAGUACGAGAGGACCGGAGUGGACGCAUCACUGGUGUUCGGGUUGUCAUGCCAAUGGCACUGCCCGGUAGCUAAAUGCGGAAGAGAUAAGUGCUGAAAGCAUCUAAGCACGAAACUUGCCCCGAGAUGAGUUCUCCCUGAGACUUUAGGUCUCCUGAAGGA